Physella acuta is the source of this 661-nucleotide long non-coding RNA. RefSeq lists it as uncharacterized. The record is from RefSeq and is a predicted model, not a curated record. NCBI's taxonomy places the organism in Eukaryota, Metazoa, Mollusca, Gastropoda, Physidae.
CCUCAAUAUGUUUCUUUAAACGGACAACUUCCACAACAGAGAGUUAUAAUAAUUGGAUACCCAACUAACCUUACCAGAUUUGAUUUUAACUUCAUACAAGCCAGCAAAACGGGAAAACCAUCAGAUUGCAUGACUGAUGCUGUAGUAGUACAUUUUGAUAACAGGUUUAGAUAUCAAACCCAUACUAAUAGAAUCCUCGUAAAUUAUAGAACCGACUAUACAUGGAGUACUGCUACUUACAUCCCGAUCUCCAGUUUUCCAUAUCAAGUUAAUGUAACAUUCAGGAUUCAAAUUACCCUCCGCCUUAACCAGUUUAAGUUCCUCAUCAACGAUCAGAUGUCAUUCACUUAUGACCGUCCAACUGAUGGAGUAGGUAGAAUGUGCUAUGCUCAUGCUGUUGUCGUCAAAAAAAUCUUCACAACAUAGAAAUCAAAUAACUGUUACUGACUAGGUGCUCCGCUUAGUGAACACCCAAUUAAGUUUUGUAGCUUAAUUUUUUAAAUUUAAUCCAAUAUUAGUCAUUUUAAGUGACGUACAGAGAUUAAUUAAAAGCGGUGGAUGCAUUAAUAUUUACAAUAUAUAUUAUUUAUUUUCUUUGAUUAUUUCGCAGUACACACCUGUCAAUGUUGGUGUAAUAAAACAUUCAAAACACAAUAAUAAA